GCCGUCGUAGCUCAGUUUGGUAGAGCGGUAGGUUGAAGCCCUGCGCGUCGGAGGUUCAAAUCCUUCCGUCGGCA
Molecule: transfer RNA, 74 nt
Filed under: Prevotella sp.
Lineage: Bacteria; Pseudomonadati; Bacteroidota; Bacteroidia; Bacteroidales; Prevotellaceae
Description: tRNA-Phe
Rfam family: tRNA
About the family: Transfer RNA (tRNA) molecules are approximately 80 nucleotides in length. Their secondary structure includes four short double-helical elements and three loops (D, anti-codon, and T loops).
Source: RNAcentral